RNAcentral lists this ribosomal RNA (665 nucleotides) under Mesorhizobium sp. RNAcentral describes it as "partial 23S ribosomal RNA". It matches the Rfam family "Bacterial large subunit ribosomal RNA", at positions 1 to 710 of the family's 2925-position model. Lineage: Bacteria; Pseudomonadati; Pseudomonadota; Alphaproteobacteria; Hyphomicrobiales; Phyllobacteriaceae. The record is from RNAcentral.
GUUAUAUGGUCAAGUGAAGAAGCGCAUACGGUGGAUGCCUUGGCAGUCAGAGGCGAUGAAAGACGUGGUAGCCUGCGAUAAGCUUCGGGGAGUCGGCAAACAGACUUUGAUCCGGAGAUCUCUGAAUGGGGGAACCCAACCAGCACAAGCUGGUUAUCUUGCACUGAAUACAUAGGUGCAAGAGGCGAACCAGGGGAACUGAAACAUCUAAGUACCCUGAGGAAAAGAAAUCAACCGAGAUUCCCUUAGUAGUGGCGAGCGAACGGGGACUAGCCCUUAAGUGGCUUUGAGAUUAGCGGAACGCUCUGGAAAGUGCGGCCAUAGUGGGUGAUAGCCCUGUACGCGAAAAUCUCUUGGCCAUGAAAUCGAGUAGGACGGAGCACGAGAAACUUUGUCUGAAUAUGGGGGGACCAUCCUCCAAGGCUAAAUACUACUGACUGACCGAUAGUGAACCAGUACCGUGAGGGAAAGGCGAAAAGAACCCCGGAGAGGGGAGUGAAAUAGAUCCUGAAACCGUAUGCGUACAAGCAGUGGGAGCAGACUUCGUUCUGUGACUGCGUACCUUUUGUAUAAUGGGUCAGCGACUUAUUUUCAGUGGCGAGCUUAACCGAAUAGGGGAGGCGUAGCGAAAGCGAGUCUUAAUAGGGCGUCUAGUCGCUGGGAAU